ACCGGGGAGCUUGUACAACAGGCUGAGAGGAAGCUGGGAGCUUCGACCCGUGACCUGAUGUGGGUAAUGCCAACGUAGGGAGCCGUC
This 87-nucleotide non-coding RNA is filed under the name uncultured Dysosmobacter sp. RNAcentral's name for it is "TPP riboswitch (THI element)". It matches the Rfam family "TPP riboswitch aptamer (THI element)", at positions 10 to 89 of the family's 105-position model. From Rfam's summary of the family: Vitamin B(1) in its active form thiamin pyrophosphate (TPP) is an essential coenzyme that is synthesised by coupling of pyrimidine and thiazole moieties in bacteria. The previously detected thiamin-regulatory element, thi box was extended, resulting in a new, highly conserved RNA secondary structure, the THI element, which is widely distributed in eubacteria and also occurs in some archaea. Lineage: Bacteria; Bacillati; Bacillota; Clostridia; Eubacteriales; Oscillospiraceae. The record is from RNAcentral.